This 274-nucleotide ribosomal RNA is filed under the name uncultured bacterium. RNAcentral's name for it is "partial 16S ribosomal RNA". It matches the Rfam family "Bacterial small subunit ribosomal RNA", at positions 523 to 796 of the family's 1533-position model. The record is from RNAcentral.
AUACGGAGGGGGCUAGCGUUGUUCGGAAUUACUGGGCGUAAAGGGCGCGUAGGCGGAUCGUCACGUCAGAGGUGAAAGGCCUGGGCUCAACCUGGGAACUGCCUUUGAAACUGAUGGUCUAGAGUCCGGAAGAGGAUGGCGGAAUUCCCAGUGUAGAGGUGAAAUUCGUAGAUAUUGGGAAGAACACCAGUGGCGAAGGCGGCCAUCUGGUCCGGUACUGACGCUGAGGUGCGAAAGCGUGGGGAGCAAACAGGAUUAGAAACCCCGGUAGUCC